AGGACAAACGCUGGCGGCGUGCAUAAAACAUGCAAGUCGGACGAGCCAAUCCCCGCAAGGGGAAAGGCUAGUGGCGAACGGCUGAGUAACACGUAGGUGAUCUGCCCUGAAGUGGGGGAUAACGACUCGAAAGAGUCGCUAAUACCGCAUGUGACCACCGAUCCGUUUUCGGUGCUCAAAGUCGUAAGACGCUUUAGGAGGAGCCUGCGGCGGAUUAGCUAGUUGGUGAGGUUAAUGGCCCACCAAGGCUUCGAUCCGUAGC
RNAcentral lists this ribosomal RNA (262 nucleotides) under uncultured soil bacterium. RNAcentral describes it as "partial 16S ribosomal RNA". It matches the Rfam family "Bacterial small subunit ribosomal RNA", at positions 26 to 287 of the family's 1533-position model. The record is from RNAcentral.